GACGAACGCUGGCGGCGUGCUUAACACAUGCAAGUCGAGCGGUAAGGCCCUUUCGGGGGUACACGAGCGGCGAACGGGUGAGUAACACGUGGGUGACCUGCCCUCAGCUCUGGGAUAAGCCCGGGAAACCGGGUCUAAUACUGGAUAUGACUCCAUGACGCAUGUUGUGGGGUGGAAAGCCUUGUGCGGCUGAGGAUGGGCCCGCGGCCUAUCAGCUUGUUGGUGGGGUGAUGGCCUACCAAGGCGACGACGGGUAGCCGGCCUGAGAGGGCGACCGGCCACACUGGGACUGAGACACGGCCCAGACUCCUACGGGAGGCAGCAGUGGGGAAUCUUGCGCAAUGGGCGAAAGCCUGACGCAGCGACGCCGCGUGAGGAUGAC
This 382-nucleotide ribosomal RNA is filed under the name uncultured bacterium. Its description in RNAcentral is "bacterial SSU rRNA". It matches the Rfam family "Bacterial small subunit ribosomal RNA", at positions 28 to 412 of the family's 1533-position model. The record is from RNAcentral.